Molecule: microRNA precursor, 100 nt
Organism: Gorilla gorilla gorilla (western lowland gorilla)
Lineage: Eukaryota; Metazoa; Chordata; Mammalia; Primates; Hominidae
Source: Ensembl
GAGGUGGGAGGAUUGCUUGAGCCUGGGAGUUUGAGGCUGCAGUGAGCUGUGAUCAUACCACUGCACUCCAGCCUGAGUAACAGAGUGAGACCCUGUCUCA